RNAcentral lists this ribosomal RNA (620 nucleotides) under uncultured bacterium. RNAcentral describes it as "bacterial SSU rRNA". It matches the Rfam family "Bacterial small subunit ribosomal RNA", at positions 9 to 649 of the family's 1533-position model. The record is from RNAcentral.
GAGUUUGAUCCUGGCUCAGAAUGAACGCUGGCGGCGUGCUUAACACAUGCAAGUCGAACGAUGAACCUUAGCUUGCUAAGGGGAUUAGUGGCGCACGGGUGAGUAAUAUAUAGAUAACGUACCUCUUAGUUUGGGAUAGCCAUUGGAAACGAUGAUUAAUACUAGAUACUCCUUCUGAUUCUAAUAUCAGUCGGGAAAGUUUUUCGCUAAGAGAUCGGUCUAUAUCCUAUCAGUUAGUUGGUGAGGUAAUGGCUCACCAAGGCAAUGACAGGUAGCGGGUUUGAGAGGAUGAUCCGCCGCACUGGUACUGAGACACGGACCAGACUCCUACGGGAGGCAGCAGUGAGGAAUAUCGCACAAUGGGCGAAAGCCUGAUGCAGCAACGCCGCGUGGAGGAUGACGCAUUUCGGUGUGUAAACUCCUUUUAUAUGCCAAGAAAAUGACGGUAGCAUAUGAAUAAGCACCGGCUAACUCCGUGCCAGCAGCCGCGGUAAUACGGAGGGUGCAAGCGUUAUUCGGAAUCACUGGGCGUAAAGGACGCGUAGGCGGGUUGCCAAGUCUGAUGUGAAAUCCUAUGGCUUAACCAUAGAACUGCAUUGGAAACUGGUGACCUAGAGUAU